AAAAACCCAUUAUUCCUGCGAUAGAGCUGAAUCUCACUGGACGUCAAACUAGGAGGACACAGGAGUGAAUCAGAUCGCUGCUCUACUUGCAGGAUAAACACUGUACACUCAACACACUGAUAUUAAGAUGCUGUGGUUUGACAGAUGAAGAUUGUUCUGCUGUGACUUCAGCUCUGAAAUCAAACCCAUCACACCUGAAAGAACUGGACCUGAGCUGGAAUGAA
Molecule: long non-coding RNA, 224 nt
Organism: Cyprinus carpio (common carp)
Lineage: Eukaryota; Metazoa; Chordata; Actinopteri; Cypriniformes; Cyprinidae
Exons: 2
Source: RefSeq, a predicted model, not a curated record